CAGUAGCCGCGGUAAUACGUAGGUGGCAAGCGUUGUCCGGAAUUAUUGGGCGUGAAGGGCUCGCAGGCGGUUUCUUAAGUCUGAUGUGAAAGCCCCCGGCUCAACCGGGGAGGGUCAUUGGAAACUGGGAAACUUGAGUGCAGAAGAGGAGAGUGGAAUUCCACGUGUAGCGGUGAAAUGCGUAGAGAUGUGGAGGAACACCAGUGGCGAAGGCGACUCUCUGGUCUGUAACUGACGCUGAGGAGCGAAAGCGUGGGGAGCGAACAGGAUUAGAUACCCCUGUAGUCCCUGUCUCUUAUAC
RNAcentral lists this ribosomal RNA (301 nucleotides) under uncultured bacterium. Its description in RNAcentral is "partial 16S ribosomal RNA". It matches the Rfam family "Bacterial small subunit ribosomal RNA", at positions 509 to 807 of the family's 1533-position model. The record is from RNAcentral.